CGGGGUGUAGCUCAGCCUGGCAGAGCGCCUGGUUUGGGGCCAGGAGGUCCCGCGUUCAAAUCGCGGCACCCCGACCA
Molecule: transfer RNA, 77 nt
Filed under: bacterium
Lineage: Bacteria
Also listed under: 4 other names
Description: tRNA-Pro
Rfam family: tRNA
About the family: Transfer RNA (tRNA) molecules are approximately 80 nucleotides in length. Their secondary structure includes four short double-helical elements and three loops (D, anti-codon, and T loops). Further hydrogen bonds mediate the characteristic L-shaped molecular structure. tRNAs have two regions of fundamental functional importance: the anti-codon, which is responsible for specific mRNA codon recognition, and the 3' end, to which the tRNAs corresponding amino acid is attached (by aminoacyl-tRNA synthetases). tRNAs cope with the degeneracy of the genetic code in two manners: having more than one tRNA (with a specific anti-codon) for a particular amino acid; and 'wobble' base-pairing, i.e. permitting non-standard base-pairing at the 3rd anti-codon position.
Source: RNAcentral